This 497-nucleotide ribosomal RNA is filed under the name uncultured bacterium. RNAcentral's name for it is "partial 16S ribosomal RNA". It matches the Rfam family "Bacterial small subunit ribosomal RNA", at positions 28 to 507 of the family's 1533-position model. The record is from RNAcentral.
GAUGAACGCUGGCGGCGUGCCUAAUACAUGCAAGUCGAGCGAACAGAUGAGGAGCUUGCUCCUCUGACGUUAGCGGCGGGCGGGUGAGUAACACGUGGAUAACCUACCUAUAAGACUGGGAUAACUUCGGGAAACCGGAUCUAAUACCGGAUAAUAUAUUGAACCGCAUGGUUCAAUAGUGAAAGACGGUUUUGCUGUCACUUAUAGAUGGAUCCGCGCCGCAUUAGCUAGUUGGUAAGGUAACGGCUUACCAAGGCAACGAUGCGUAGCCGACCUGAGAGGGUGAUCGGCCACACUGGAACUGAGACACGGUCCAGACUCCUACGGGAGGCAGCAGUAGGGAAUCUUCCGCAAUGGGCGAAAGCCUGACGGAGCAACGCCGCGUGAGUGAUGAAGGUCUUCGGAUCGUAAAACUCUGUUAUUAGGGAAGAACAAAUGUGUAAGUAACUAUGCACGUCUUGACGGUACCUAAUCAGAAAGCCACGGCUAACUACGUG